CGGUGUAUCAUCAAAAGCCCUUUAAUACUACUACUACUACUACAUUUCCUAUAACUUGUUCACCUUGUUCUAUUAUCAACAAUAAUAAUAUUAAGAACACAAUUAGUUCUUGUGCCUCUACUAGACCUAAUUUUCAACAAGGAGGGUUUUUUAGAUCAAGAUUUUUAUCAAGAUAUUCGACUAAACGGAGCACUAGGGCUCCAAGGAUGCGUUGGACAAGUACUCUCCAUGCUCAUUUUGUUCAUGCUGUUGAACUCUUGGGUGGCCAUGAAAG
This 274-nucleotide unclassified non-coding RNA is filed under the name Hevea brasiliensis (rubber tree). Lineage: Eukaryota; Viridiplantae; Streptophyta; Magnoliopsida; Malpighiales; Euphorbiaceae. The record is from RNAcentral.